CCAAAUCAAGUCAACGAUUUCCGA
RNAcentral lists this microRNA (24 nucleotides) under Ananas comosus (pineapple). RNAcentral describes it as "microRNA s1112_c138a". The record is from RNAcentral. Lineage: Eukaryota; Viridiplantae; Streptophyta; Magnoliopsida; Poales; Bromeliaceae.